This 738-nucleotide ribosomal RNA is filed under the name uncultured marine bacterium. RNAcentral's name for it is "bacterial SSU rRNA". It matches the Rfam family "Bacterial small subunit ribosomal RNA", at positions 56 to 811 of the family's 1533-position model. The record is from RNAcentral.
UGCAGUCGACGCACUCGACCUUCGGGUCACAUGAGUGAGUGGCGAACGGGUGAGUAACACGUGAGGAACCUGCCCCGAAGACUGGAAUAACCCGAGGAAACUCGGGCUAAUACCGGAUAUCCCCACCAGGUCGCAUGGCCAGGUGAGGAAAUGCUCCGGCGCUUCGGGAGGGUCUCGCGACCUAUCAGCUAGUUGGUGAGGUAACGGCUCACCAAGGCAUCGACGGGUAGCUGGUCUGAGAGGACGAUCAGCCACACUGGGACUGAGACACGGCCCAGACUCCUACGGGAGGCAGCAGUGGGGAAUCUUGCGCAAUGGGCGAAAGCCUGACGCAGCCACGCCGCGUGAGGGAUGAAGGCUUUCGGGUUGUAAACCUCUUUCAGCAGGGACGAAAAUGACGGUACCUGCAGAAGAAGCUCCGGCCAACUACGUGCCAGCAGCCGCGGUAACACGUAGGGAGCAAGCGUUGUCCGGAUUUAUUGGGCGUAAAGAGCUCGUAGGCGGUUCAGUCAGUCGGGUGUGAAAACUUGAGGCUCAACCUCAAGAGGCCACUCGAUACUGCUGUGACUAGAGUCCGGUAGAGGAGUGUGGAAUUCCUGGUGUAGCGGUGAAAUGCGCAGAUAUCAGGAGGAACACCGACAGCGAAGGCAGCACUCUGGGCCGGUACUGACGCUGAGGAGCGAAAGCAUGGGGAGCGAACAGGAUUAGAUACCCUGGUAGUCCAUGCCGUAAACGUUG